Molecule: ribosomal RNA, 845 nt
Filed under: Exserohilum rostratum
Lineage: Eukaryota; Fungi; Ascomycota; Dothideomycetes; Pleosporales; Pleosporaceae
Description: partial large subunit ribosomal RNA
Rfam family: Eukaryotic large subunit ribosomal RNA
Source: RNAcentral
AGGGAUUGCCCUAGUAACGGCGAGUGAAGCGGCAACAGCUCAAAUUUGAAAUCUGGCUCUUUCAGAGUCCGAGUUGUAAUUUGCAGAGGGCGCUUUGGCUUUGGCAGCGGUCCAAGUUCCUUGGAACAGGACGUCACAGAGGGUGAGAAUCCCGUACGUGGUCGCUAGCUAUUGCCGUGUAAAGCCCCUUCGACGAGUCGAGUUGUUUGGGAAUGCAGCUCUAAAUGGGAGGUAAAUUUCUUCUAAAGCUAAAUAUUGGCCAGAGACCGAUAGCGCACAAGUAGAGUGAUCGAAAGAUGAAAAGCACUUUGGAAAGAGAGUCAAACAGCACGUGAAAUUGUUGAAAGGGAAGCGCUUGCAGCCAGACUUGCUUGCAGUUGCUCAUCCGGGCUUUUGCCCGGUGCACUCUUCUGCAGGCAGGCCAGCAUCAGUUUGGGCGGUGGGAUAAAGGUCUCUGUCAUGUACCUCUCUUCGGGGAGGCCUUAUAGGGGAGGCGACAUACCACCAGCCUAGACUGAGGUCCGCGCAUCUGCUAGGAUGCUGGCGUAAUGGCUGUAAGCGGCCCGUCUUGAAACACGGACCAAGGAGUCUAACAUCUAUGCGAGUGUUUGGGUGUCAAGCCCGAGCGCGUAAUGAAAGUGAACGGAGGUGGGAACCCGCAAGGGUGCACCAUCGACCGAUCCUGAAGUUUACGGAAGGAUUUGAGUAAGAGCAUGGCUGUUGGGACCCGAAAGAUGGUGAACUAUGCUUGAAUAGGGUGAAGCCAGAGGAAACUCUGGUGGAGGCUCGCAGCGGUUCUGACGUGCAAAUCGAUCGUCAAAUUUGGGCAUAGGGGCGAAAGACUA